GAUCAUUACCGAAUUGUCAACACGAGCUGUUGCUGGCCUUCAAACGGGGGCACGUGCACGCUCUGUUUUCAUCCACUCACACCUGUGCACCCUCUGUAGUUCUAUGGUCUGGGAGACUCUGUCUUCCUUCUGUGGUUCUGCGUCUUUACACACACACUGUAACCUGGUCUUAUGGAAUGUAAAGCAGCGUUUAACGCAAUAUAAUACAACUUUCAGCAACGGAUCUCUUGGCUCUCGCAUCGAUGAAGAACGCAGCGAAAUGCGAUAACUAAUGUGAAUUGCAGAAUUCAGUGAAUCAUCGAGUCUUUGAACGCACCUUGCACCCUUUGGUAUUCCGAAGGGUAUGCCUGUUUGAGUGUCAUUAAAUUCUCAAACUCACUAUGUUUCUUUUGAAACGUAUUGGGCUUUGGAUGUGGGGGUUGCAGGCUUUAACGAGUCGGCUCCUCUUAAAUGCAUUAGUGGCUUGUCGAUCCCCAUUAAAUGGUGUGAUAGUAAUAUCUGCAUCAUAACUAAUGGCUAGGUCAUGCAAUGGCAAUUUGAAGCUGCUUUCUAACGGUCUUCGGACAAUUCGAACCAUUUGACCUCAAAUCAGGUAGGACUACCCGCUGAACUUAAGCAUAUCAAUAAGCGGAGGAAAAGAAACUAACAAGGAUUCCCCUAGUAACUGCGAGUGAAGCGGGAAAAGCUCAAAUUUAAAAUCUGAUAGUCUUUGGCUGUCCGAGUUGUAAUUUAGAGAAGUGUUACCCGCGCUGGACCGUGUAUAAGUCUUCUGGAAUGGAGCAUCAUUGAGGGUGAGAAUCCCGUCUUUGACACGGACUACCAGGGCAUUGUGGUGCGCUCUCAACGAGUCGAGUUGUUUGGGAAUGCAGCUCAAAAUGGGUGGUAAAUUCCAUCUAAAGCUAAAUAUUGGCGAGAGACCGAUAGCGAACAAGUACCGUGAGGGAAAGAUGAAAAGAACUUUGGAAAGAGAGUUAAACAGUACGUGAAAUUGCUGAAAGGGAAACGCUUGAAGUCAGUCGCGUUGGCUUGAAAUCAGCCUUGCUUUGCUUGGUGUACUUUCUAGUUGACGGGUCAACAUCAGUUUUGACCAUUGGAUAAGGAUGGAGGGAAUGUGGCUCCUUUAGGAGUGUUAUAGCCUUCUAUCGUAUACAGUGGUUGGGACUGAGGCUCUCAGCACGCUUU
This 1182-nucleotide ribosomal RNA is filed under the name uncultured fungus. RNAcentral describes it as "eukaryotic LSU rRNA". The stretch from base 579 to 1182 matches the Rfam family "Eukaryotic large subunit ribosomal RNA", at positions 1 to 608 of the family's 3401-position model. Lineage: Eukaryota; Fungi. The record is from RNAcentral.